CGUUCAUCCUUCUGAUUGGACUCCUAUUUAAGUCAUUCAAUCAGACCGGUCCGAUCCAUUUCAGCCUUAAAGGCAGCCCUCUUUUAGGUUUCAGUUCUUUUUCCUCAAAUCCGGUCACAAAAAGAAAAGACUGCAGGUCCAGUCAUUUCGCAGCCCUGUCCACUCGCGCGCCGAAAAGAAUUAAAUGCUUGCUUGACACAUGGAGAGUCCUGGGGUUAUCCGUACAUACGGACCUGCACCAAGGGGUAGGCGGUCCUAUAGCGGAAAUGUCAUUUCGCGUGAAGGAGAAGAAAGAGGAUAAAAGGGAGGAAACACU
This 316-nucleotide long non-coding RNA is filed under the name Manihot esculenta (cassava). RNAcentral describes it as "long non-coding RNA (MESC_LNC000904)". The record is from RNAcentral. Lineage: Eukaryota; Viridiplantae; Streptophyta; Magnoliopsida; Malpighiales; Euphorbiaceae.